GACCCAAAAGAUGGUGAACUAUGCAUGAGCUAGGUGAAGCUAGAGGAAACUCUGGUGGAGGCCAAUAACGAUACUAACAUUCAAAUUGUUCGUCUACUUGGGUAUUGGGACAAAAGACUAAUCGAACCGUCUAGUAAUUGG
Cajanus cajan (pigeon pea) is the source of this 141-nucleotide non-coding RNA. The record is from Rfam. NCBI's taxonomy places the organism in Eukaryota, Viridiplantae, Streptophyta, Magnoliopsida, Fabales, Fabaceae.